GGCAUGCCUUACACAUGCAAGUCGAACGGCAGCACGGGUGCUUGCACCUGGUGGCGAGUGGCGAACGGGUGAGUAAUACAUCGGAACAUGUCCUGUAGUGGGGGAUAGCCCGGCGAAAGCCGGAUUAAUACCGCAUACGAUCCACGGAUGAAAGCGGGGGACCUUCGGGCCUCGCGCUAUAGGGUUGGCCGAUGGCUGAUUAGCUAGUUGGUGGGGUAAAGGCCUACCAAGGCGACGAUCAGUAGCUGGUCUGAGAGGACGACCAGCCACACUGGGACUGAGACACGGCCCAGACUCCUACGGGAGGCAGCAGUGGGGAAUUUUGGACAAUGGGCGAAAGCCUGAUCCAGCAAUGCCGCGUGUGUGAAGAAGGCCUUCGGGUUGUAAAGCACUUUUGUCCGGAAAGAAAUCCCUGGCUCUAAUACAGUCGGGGGAUGACGGUACCGGAAGAAUAAGCACCGGCUAACUACGUGCCAGCAGCCGCGGUAAUACGUAGGGUGCGAGCGUUAAUCGGAAUUACUGGGCGUAAAGCGUGCGCAGGCGGUCUGUUAAGACAGAUGUGAAAUCCCCGGGCUCAACCUGGGAACUGCAUUUGUGACUGGCAGGCUAGAGUAUGGCAGAGGGGGGUAGAAUUCCACGUGUAGCAGUGAAAUGCGUAGAGAUGUGGAGGAAUACCGAUGGCGAAGGCAGCCCCCUGGGCCAAUACUGACGCUCAUGCACGAAAGCGUGGGGAGCAAACAGGAUUAGAUACCCUGGUAGUCCACGCCCUAAACGAUGUCAACUAGUUGUUGGGGAUUCAUUUCCUUAGUAACGUAGCUAACGCGUGAAGUUGACCGCCUGGGGAGUACGGUCGCAAGAUUAAAACUCAAAGGAAUUGACGGGGACCCGCACAAGCGGUGGAUGAUGUGGAUUAAUUCGAUGCAACGCGAAAAACCUUACCUACCCUUGACAUGGUCGGAAUCCUGAAGAGAUUCGGGAGUGCUCGAAAGAGAACCGGCGCACAGGUGCUGCAUGGCUGUCGUCAGCUCGUGUCCUGAGAUGUUGGGUUAAGUCCCACAACGAGCGCAACCCUUGUCCUUAGUUGCUACGCAAGAGCACUCUAAGGAGACUGCCGGUGACAAACCGGAGGAAGGUGGGGAUGAGGUCAAGUCCUCAUGGCCCUUAUGGGGAGGGGUUGGCACGUCAUACAA
RNAcentral lists this ribosomal RNA (1190 nucleotides) under Burkholderia multivorans. RNAcentral describes it as "bacterial SSU rRNA". It matches the Rfam family "Bacterial small subunit ribosomal RNA", at positions 41 to 1230 of the family's 1533-position model. The record is from RNAcentral. Lineage: Bacteria; Pseudomonadati; Pseudomonadota; Betaproteobacteria; Burkholderiales; Burkholderiaceae.